This 71-nucleotide transfer RNA is filed under the name Marmota monax (woodchuck). Its description in RNAcentral is "tRNA.Ala". It matches the Rfam family "tRNA". From Rfam's summary of the family: Transfer RNA (tRNA) molecules are approximately 80 nucleotides in length. Their secondary structure includes four short double-helical elements and three loops (D, anti-codon, and T loops). Further hydrogen bonds mediate the characteristic L-shaped molecular structure. tRNAs have two regions of fundamental functional importance: the anti-codon, which is responsible for specific mRNA codon recognition, and the 3' end, to which the tRNAs corresponding amino acid is attached (by aminoacyl-tRNA synthetases). tRNAs cope with the degeneracy of the genetic code in two manners: having more than one tRNA (with a specific anti-codon) for a particular amino acid; and 'wobble' base-pairing, i.e. permitting non-standard base-pairing at the 3rd anti-codon position. Lineage: Eukaryota; Metazoa; Chordata; Mammalia; Rodentia; Sciuridae. The record is from RNAcentral.
GGGGUUGUGGCUCAGUGAUAGAGUGCUUGCCUAGCAUGUAUGAGGCCCUGGGUUUGAUCCUCAGCACCACA